UACGGAGGGGACUAGCGUUGUUCGGAAUUACUGGGCGUAAAGCGCACGUAGGCGGAUUUGUAAGUCAGGGGUGAAAUCCCGGGGCUCAACCUCGGAACUGCCUUUGAUACUGCAAAUCUCGAGUCCGGAAGAGGUGAGUGGAAUUCCUAGUGUAGAGGUGAAAUUCGUAGAUAUCAGGAGGAACACCGAUGGCGAAGGCAGCUCGCUGGGACGGUACUGACGCUGAGGCGCGAAAGCGUGGGGAGCAAACAGG
RNAcentral lists this ribosomal RNA (253 nucleotides) under uncultured bacterium. RNAcentral describes it as "partial 16S ribosomal RNA". It matches the Rfam family "Bacterial small subunit ribosomal RNA", at positions 524 to 776 of the family's 1533-position model. The record is from RNAcentral.